CCUCCUUUCUAAGGAUGAUUAAGGAUUAUUUCUUAAUCUAAAUGUUUAACAGGUUAAUGUUGACCGUCCUCAUUUCUCUUCUUGAAGUAGUGUUUCUCUUUUCUGCAUAGGGGCCGGUAGCUCAGUUGGUUAGAGCACACCCUUGAUAAGGGUGGGGUCGAAAGUUCGAGUCUUUCUCGGCCCACCAAUAUAAAGGGGGAUUAGCUCAGCUGGGAGGGCGCCUGAUUUGCAUUCAGGAGGUCAGCGGUUCGAUCCCGCUAUCCUCCACCAAGAAACACUUAGUUAUUUAAUUCGUAAAUAUUUUUUAUAUUAUCAAUAUCUAUAUCCGAUUGUUCGAAUAGAUGAACAAUCAUGAAUGUUCGAAUAGACGAACAUUCCAACAAAAUUUGAUUCAACACAGAAUUUUUUUCUGUGCAUAAAUCAAGCGUAUAAGGGCGUGUGGCGGAUGCCUUGGCACUGAAAGCCGAUGAAGGACGUGGUAUACUGCG
RNAcentral lists this unclassified non-coding RNA (488 nucleotides) under uncultured Pelagibacterales bacterium. RNAcentral's name for it is "partial 16S-23S ribosomal RNA intergenic spacer". The stretch from base 111 to 184 matches the Rfam family "tRNA". Lineage: Bacteria; Pseudomonadati; Pseudomonadota; Alphaproteobacteria; Candidatus Pelagibacterales. The record is from RNAcentral.